CCCUUAGAUGUUCUGGGCCGCACGCGUGCUACACUGAGUGGAUCAGCGGGUCAGGUUGCGCGAAAGCGUUUCCUAAUCUUUAAAUCCGCUCGUGAUUGGGAUUGACGGUUGCAAUUUUCUGUCAUGAACGAGGAAUACCUUGUAAGCGCGGGUCAUCAUCCCGCGCUGAAUACGUCCCUGCCCUUUGUACACACCGCCCGUCGCUCCUACCGAUUGAGUGGUCCGGUGAGGCUUUGGGAUCUGAGCGGAAAGAGCGUUUCGCUGUUUCUGCUCGGAAAACUCAGUCGAACCUUAUCAUUUAGAGGAAGGAGAAGUCGUAACA
This 322-nucleotide ribosomal RNA is filed under the name uncultured eukaryote. RNAcentral's name for it is "partial 18S ribosomal RNA". It matches the Rfam family "Eukaryotic small subunit ribosomal RNA", at positions 1470 to 1796 of the family's 1831-position model. The record is from RNAcentral.